RNAcentral lists this ribosomal RNA (489 nucleotides) under uncultured bacterium. Its description in RNAcentral is "partial 16S ribosomal RNA". It matches the Rfam family "Bacterial small subunit ribosomal RNA", at positions 30 to 507 of the family's 1533-position model. The record is from RNAcentral.
UUGAACGCUGGCGGCAGGCCUAACACAUGCAAGUCGAACGGCAACAGGAAGAAGCUUGCUUCUUUGCUGACGCGUGGCGGACGGGUGAGUAAUGUCUGGGAAACUGCCUGAUGGAGGGGGAUAACUACUGGAAACGGUAGCUAAUACCGCAUAACGUCGCAAGACCAAAGAGGGGGACCUUCGGGCCUCUUGCCAUCGGAUGUGCCCAGAUGGGAUUAGCUAGUAGGUGGGGUAACGGCUCACCUAGGCGACGAUCCCUAGCUGGUCUGAGAGGAUGACCAGCCACACUGGAACUGAGACACGGUCCAGACUCCUACGGGAGGCAGCAGUGGGGAAUAUUGCACAAUGGGCGCAAGCCUGAUGCAGCCAUGCCGCGUGUAUGAAGAAGGCCUUCGGGUUGUAAAGUACUUUCAGCGGGGAGGAAGGGAGUAAAGUUAAUACCUUUACUCAUUGACGUUACCCGCAGAAGAAGCACCGGCUAACUCCGUG